This 1496-nucleotide ribosomal RNA is filed under the name metagenome. RNAcentral's name for it is "bacterial SSU rRNA". It matches the Rfam family "Bacterial small subunit ribosomal RNA". The record is from RNAcentral.
AGAGUUUGAUCCUGGCUCAGAUUGAACGCUGGCGGCGUGCUUAACACAUGCAAGUCGGGCGGUAGCAGGCGUAGCAAUACGUGCUGACGAGCGGCGAACGGGUGAGUAAUGCAUCGGAAUCUUCCUAGUAGUGGGGAACAACCUGGGGAAACUCAGGCUAAUACCGCAUACGACCUACGGGUGAAAGCAGGGGAUCGCAAGACCUUGCGCUAUUAGAUGAGCCGAUGUCGGAUUAGCUAGUUGGUGAGGUAAAGGCUCACCAAGGCGACGAUCCGUAGCUGGUCUGAGAGGACGACCAGCCACACUGGAACUGAGACACGGUCCAGACUCCUACGGGAGGCAGCAGUGGGGAAUAUUGGACAAUGGGGGCAACCCUGAUCCAGCGACGCCGCGUGUGUGAAGAAGGCCUGCGGGUUGUAAAGCACUUUUAGUGGGGACAAAAAGCUACGGACUAAUACUCUGUGGUCUUGAUUUAACCCAAAGAAAAAGCACCGGCUAACUCUGUGCCAGCAGCCGCGGUAAUACAGAGGGUGCAAGCGUUAAUCGGAAUUACUGGGCGUAAAGCGAGCGUAGUCGGUUAUUUAAGUCGGAUGUGAAAUCCCCGGGCUCAACCUGGGAAUCGCAUUCGAUACUGGAUAGCUAGAGUUCGGCAGAGGGAAGCGGAAUUUCGGGUGUAGCGGUGAAAUGCGUAGAUAUCCGAAGGAACAUCAGUGGCGAAAGCGGCUUCCUGGACCAGAACUGACGAUCAGGCUCGAAAGCGUGGGGAGCAAACAGGAUUAGAUACCCUGGUAGUCCACGCCAUAAACGAUGACAACUAGACGUUGGGAACAUAUGGUUCACAGUGUCGCAGCUAACGCGUUAAGUUGUCCGCCUGGGGAGUACGGCCGCACGGUUGAAACUCAAAGGAAUUGACGGGGACCCGCACAAGCGGUGGAGCAUGUGGUUUAAUUCGAUGCAACGCGAAGAACCUUACCUGGUCUUGACAUCCACGGAAGCCCGAAGAGGUUUGGGUGUGCCGCAAGGAACCGUGAGACAGGUGCUGCAUGGCUGUCGUCAGCUCGCGUCGUGAGAUGUUGGGUUAAGUCCCGCAACGAGCGCAACCCCUGUCCUUAGUUGCCAUCAUUAAGUUGGGAACUCUAAGGAGACCGCCGGUGACAAACCGGAGGAAGGUGGGGAUGACGUCAAGUCAUCAUGGCCUUUAUGACCAGGGCUACACACGUGCUACAAUGGCAGGUACAGAGGGAAGCCAACUCGCGAGAGGGAGCUAAUCCCAGAAAGCCUGUCUUAGUCCGGAUUGGAGUCUGCAACUCGACUCCAUGAAGUUGGAAUCGCUAGUAAUCGCAGAUCAGCAUUGCUGCGGUGAAUACGUUCCCGGGUCUUGUACACACCGCCCGUCACACCAUGGGAGUUGAUUGCACCAGAAGCAGGUAGCCUGACCGCAAGGAGGGCGCUUACCACGGUGUGGUUAAUGACUGGGGUGAAGUCGUAACAAGGUA